UGGUCAUGUCAAAAGAACACAGGAGAAAGAAAACUCUUUGUAAAUGUCCUAGAGAAAUAUAGUAGCUUUCUGUUCACACUUUGCAAGUAAAAAGGGUGGAUCGUCCCACUACUGACAUAU
Small nucleolar RNA from Myotis lucifugus (little brown bat), 120 nucleotides. NCBI's taxonomy places the organism in Eukaryota, Metazoa, Chordata, Mammalia, Chiroptera, Vespertilionidae. The record is from Ensembl.